GGCGGGACACGUGGUAUCCUGUCUGAAUAUGGGGGGACCAUCCUCCAAGGCUAAAUACUCCUGACUGACCGAUAGUGAACCAGUACCGUGAGGGAAAGGCGAAAAGAACCCCGGCGAGGGGAGUGAAAAAGAACCUGAAACCGUGUACGUACAAGCAGUGGGAGCCUCUUUAUGGGGUGACUGCGUACCUUUUGUAUAAUGGGUCAGCGACUUAUAUUCUGUAGCAAGGUUAACCGUAUAGGGGAGCCGAAGGGAAACCGAGUCUUAACUGGGCGUUAAGUUGCAGGGUAUAGACCCGAAACCCGGUGAUCUAGCCAUGGGCAGGUUGAAGGUUGGGUAACACUAACUGGAGGACCGAACCGACUAAUGUUGAAAAAUUAGCGGAUGACCUGUGGCUGGGGGUGAAAGGCCAAUCAAACCGGGAGAUAGCUGGUUCUCCCCGAAAGCUAUUUAGGUAGCGCCUCGUGAACUCAUCUUCGGGGGUAGAGCACUGUUUCGGCUAGGGGGCCAUCCCGGCUUACCAACCCGAUGCAAACUACGAAUACCGAAGAAUGUUAUCACGGGAGACACACGGCGGGUGCUAACGUCCGUCGUGAAGAGGGAAACAACCCAGACCGCCAGCUAAGGUCCCAAAGUCAUGGUUAAGUGGGAAACGAUGUGGGAAGGCACAGACAGCCAGGAUGUUGGCUUAGAAGCAGCCAUCAUUUAAAGAAAGCGUAAUAGCUCACUGGUCGAGUCGGCCUGCGCGGAAGAUGUAACGGGGCUAAACCAUGCACCGAAGCUGCGGCAGCGACACUAUGUGUUGUUGGGUAGGGGAGCG
RNAcentral lists this ribosomal RNA (820 nucleotides) under Enterobacter hormaechei. RNAcentral's name for it is "partial 23S ribosomal RNA". It matches the Rfam family "Bacterial large subunit ribosomal RNA", at positions 416 to 1238 of the family's 2925-position model. RNAcentral also lists the same sequence under 1 other name. The record is from RNAcentral. Lineage: Bacteria; Pseudomonadati; Pseudomonadota; Gammaproteobacteria; Enterobacterales; Enterobacteriaceae.